GCCUUCGUAGUGUAGUGGUCAGCACGCUCGGUGCCUAUUCGAGAGGUCCGUGGUUCGAGUCCCGGCGAGGGCU
This is a non-coding RNA of Stegodyphus mimosarum, 73 nucleotides long. Lineage: Eukaryota; Metazoa; Arthropoda; Arachnida; Araneae; Eresidae. The record is from Rfam.